Long non-coding RNA from Chinchilla lanigera (long-tailed chinchilla), 2134 nucleotides. Lineage: Eukaryota; Metazoa; Chordata; Mammalia; Rodentia; Chinchillidae. The record is from Ensembl.
CUCAGAUUAGCGGGUACAGAACACCUAAAAAGCAGUCACAUCUGCUGUGAUCCUGUGGUGUGACAGGGCUCAGCUGGGUGGUUCUUGUGCUCUUCAUGGUGUCACUGGGGCUGAAGUGACCCAGGCCUCUAGGGGGCUGGGAGUCCAAGGCAGCUCCCUACCACCACAGUCAAUUGGUGCUGGCUGUCAGUGGGGUACUCAGUUGCACCAGGGCAGCUGAGUGGUCAGCCAGGUGCCCUGUGGUCCUCUACAUGGUUGGGCCUCCCCCAGCAUCUGGCUGGGUUUUAAGAGGCAGGAAGUAGGAACUGUUCAUCAUCUUGGAUGUGUCUAGAGGUUUUAGAACGUCACCUCUGCAGAUUCUGUUUGCCAUGUCCCAGGACUGGCUGGGCUGGAGGGGAGGGACAUGAGCUCCGAGUAUCGAUGGUGGCCCACCAUGGGCACGUGACAUGGGGAGGGGAAGAGUGAGUGGUUGCCAUCUGCAUGUGUUCCUCACUGAGCUUCCUGUCCCCGUGAUAGCUAGAGAGGGACUUUCUGGUUUUACCUGAUCACUGGCUCCCCAUAAGGCAACCCAUGACCACAGCUCUCCACACCUUCGAUGACAAUGGUAUCUCUUGGCUGGGCAUGGUUGAGGCAUGAAGACCAGGGCCUUUCAGUGGGCAACAUUCUACAUGGAAGCCUCCAGAAUCCCGCUUUGUAGGAAGAACCCCAUCUUCAUGGUCAGACUCAAGUUUAGGUCUCAGGUCGCAUUAGUGAUAAGAUCUUAGGCACUUCUCAAACUCUCCGGGGUCCCAGUUUCCUCACCUUCCCCCUGAGAUCAGGCCAGGUGGGAAGGGGGGGGCCAACCCCUGCUGCUCCUCUUCCCCUAGAACAUGUUCUUCCCCGAAGCCUCCUGGGACACUGAGCUCUUCACGAAGGCUCCAAGUCUCCGGGGACCAGGAAGUAACUACCUCGUAUCAGAAGAUGAAGUGUCUCCACUCUCUUCUCAGAGCAGAUGGGCAGUGGUGCUUCGCGGACAUUCCUGCUCGUCACCUGCGAAGUUUCGAUCUUUUCGGCAGAUGAACGCAGACCAGGAGAGCAGAGGGUGCUUACGCAGUGCACAGCUUCAGGGCUUCUGUGGCCAGGGUCCCAGGAACCCCCUGCUUUGUUGGUCCAGGUACUCAGCUGGUCCUCAGGCUUCUGUGUUAGAGGUAGGAGGCCUUCCCAGGGAGGAGGCCUUGCUUGCAGGGAGGAUGGAGGCAUGGCAGGUGAGGAUGGAGACAGGUGAGAGGAGCUUAAUUUGCUCCUUCUAGGACUGGUUUUCUCUUUUGUCGCCAGGGAAACCCAUUGCCAACCUCCUGCCUUGGGGGGGGAGGACAUCUACUGCGGGAGGCAGGAAACCCAGAGCCGACCCCUCCAGGGUUUCUCUGCCUCUGCUUCCAGUGGGUGUGGCCGAUGGCAGGACAGGCAGGAGGCCUGGGUGCUUGUCCCUGGCUCCCUUCCUGUUCCUCGGGCCCUGAGCCCUGGCCAGGCCCUCUCAGCAGUGUCCCCUAGUAACCCUGACAACAUCUUGCUCUUCUGGACACCCUGUCUCUGCUGUGACCCAUCCGACAUGGCUCCUCUGUUGUCCCCGGUCCUUCAUGUCAUUCCUGCUUCCUCGUGGGAGUGGGGACUAACUGCCCAAUGGACGCAAGGCAGCGUCUCCCACAAGGCAGCGUCUCCCACAGCCUUCACUGGCCGGCUCUCUCUGCCUUCUCUGCACUGGGCAGCAGGUCCUCCAUGGCCCUCAGUUUCCUCUGCAAGGGAGGCGACUUCCUCGUGACUUGCAGCCCCACAGGCUGGAGCCCAGGCUGGACGUGGAGUUGGUGCUGGGGGCUGGUGGGGGUCCCCUGUGACCUGAGUGGCACUGGCCUGAGAUGGCACUUUGUGAUCUGGCCCCAGGCUGGGCUUCAGGGGCUUCGUUCUUUGCCAGCACCCCAGGAAUGUGUCCCUGGGGAGGUCUGAAUGCCCCAAGUGUGGUCCUUGGGGCCCCGGCUGCUGCCUCUUCCUCGGAGAAUGAGCGAGCUUCUACCACCCUCUUCAAAUGCUCUUCCAGCUCUGUAGCCCAGUACAGUAGCCACAUGCGCAUGUUUAAGUUUGAAUGAGUGAAAAUAAUGCA